UUGUAAUAUUUUAUUUUCACGUGAUGUCAGCGUGGAGAAUUGAGCGACCUGAGGGCGAUCGAGCUGGACGUGGGUCCAAAGGGUUUGAUUUGAAAAAGGAAACGAUCUAAAGAUUGACUGUAAUUUCUGGAAAGAAAAUCUUUGUUGGGAGUGUCACCAAACGAGAGGCGAUUAGGGCAAAACCGAGCGCUUGCUGUUCCUAUCCUUCUCGAUCCGAUCCUGCAAUGAAGAAGCGAAAGGGAGUGGCAGAUGCAGCACCAAUGGGCGGAUACGUCGCCUCUGGAAGCAGCGACUCCUACGAUGUGUUGCUGAGUUUCAUGGGAGACGACACUGUCCUUACGAUGGCCGAGCACCUGUACCGUGACUUGGUUGAGGCUGGAAUCCGCGUCUUCAGAGACUACAAUGAACUUGGAGGCGGUGAUGAAAUUGACGGGGAGCUUCUGAGAGCGAUCGACGGGGCCAAAAUCUACAUCCCCAUCUUCUCCAGAAACUACGCUUCCAGCGUGUGGUGUCUCAAGGAGCUUGCGGCUAUGGUGGAGAGGAUGGUGAAAUCGGGUGGUGGGAAAACGAUCCUCCCCAUAUUCUACGACGUUGAGUCUCGUGAUGUUAGGCUUGAAACCCCUCUGUACCGCGAUGACCUAGUGAAGCACGAGGAGAGAAUCGGGUCUGAAGAAGUAGAAGCGUGGGAAAAUGCUCUUAAAGAGGUUGGUUCAUUCUCUGGAUGGGAGACGGGAGAUGGCAGCUACUUCCACCUCAUCCAAGAAACCAUUGAAGAAGUCAAGAUCAAGCUGAAGGAAAAGGGAAUUGACAAACAAGUGGAGGACAUGAUGGACUUACUUGAUUUAGAAGUCAGUGAUGUACGGAUAGUCGGAAUAUGGGGGGAGGAUGGGGUUGGCAAGACGACUCUUGCCAAUGCCAUUUAUGAAAAGAUUUCCUCUCAGUUCCACAGAUGUAGUUUCCUUGCAGAUAUUGGGGCAACAGCGAAACAACGUGGAGGUGUUCAGCUUUUGCAAAGCAAGUUGAUAUCUGAUAUCCUAAACCGAGAAUACGAGGUUGAUCAAGUUGCGAAAGGAGUUGAUUUCUUUAAAGGAAUAUUACGGAAGUUGAAAGUCCUAAUUGUUCUUGAUGAUGUUGAGGUACGGUCGCAUCUCCACGAAAUUGUUGGAGAGAAGCUUGAUUGGUUCGGUUAUGGAUCUAGGAUAAUUGUCACCACCACUAGUAUCGAAUCUGUUCUUCCAAAAUUUAUAUCUCGAGGGUUGGUUCGUGUUUAUGGUAUCAAGUUGAUGGGUAAUGAUGAAGCUCUUGAGCUUUUCAGAAAGCAUGCACUGCGAGAACUUCUUUCAGUUCCAGAUUUUGAUGAAAUUGCAAGAGGUAUAAUCAACUCUGUGAAUGAGAUUCCAUUACUUAUCAAAGUAAUCGGUUCACACUUAUCCAGAAAAGUAGUAGAAGAAUGGACUGCAUUUAAGGAGCUAAUUUUGCAACCUGGCCUGGAUAUUAAAAAGCUUUUUAUGAUUAGUUAUGAAGAAUUGAGCAAGGAGCAAAGAGAGAUAUUUCUUGAUAUUGCGUGCCUCCCUGCUGAUGUGGAUGGUCGAAUUGCUUCAUUUAUGUGGCAUAAUCUCAAUUUUCUCCCCUCUGAUGGAGUUGAUGCCCUCCAUGCUAUGUCCCUGGUAAAAAUUGGAAAAGAGAACGAACUGGGGAUGCCCAGGCUGUUAAGGGAGUUUGGCCAAUACAUCAUACAAAACGAGGAUAAACUAGAUCCAGGAAUGCGAGGCAGGUUAUGCAAUUUGGAAUUGGCCCGGAAUAAGGAUGAGGGGACAGACCACCUCAAAUUUGACGCGGGAGAUUUUAAGAGCAUGCCAAACAUAAGAUUUCUUAUCUUGGAUUUUGCGAAAGUUGUUGGUGAUUUUGCUAAUGUUUUUCCAAAUUUGAAGUGGCUCCAAUGGCAAGGAUGCACCAGAGAUUUUGAAGCUACUAAUUUUCAUGUUGAGAAAUUAGUCAUUCUUGAUCUUUCACGGAGCAGAGUCACUGAAGACUGGGGAGGUUGGCAAAAAAUCAAGAUGCCACAGUUGAAAGCCUUGAAUCUUACUGGUUGUGCUGGCCUAUUGAUGAGCCCCGACUUGUCCUCUUUCCCGGACUUGGAGAUAUUGAUUCUCGAACGGUGUUCUCGAUUAAUGAAGUUAGAUCCUUCCAUCUGUCAUUUAAAAUGCUUAACUACCUUAAAUUUGAGGUUCUGCGAUGAACUCAAUAUGUUGCCAUUUGAACUGGGUAACAUGAAAACUCUUAAGGAGGUUCUUAUUGAUGGGACUUUGGUACAAAAAAUUCCUGUGUCAAUGGGUUACAUGAAGAAACUUGAGAUUUUUAGUGCAUCCAACUGUUUCCAAUUAAGACACCUGCCUGGCUCAGUCUGCGGCUUAACAGCUCUUUCGGUACUCUCACUGGAAAAUGCAAAAAUUACUCGAGUCCCUGCCUCUGUUGAAAACCUGGUGAAACUCCAGAUCCUGUCUCUAAAGGAUUGUCGGUGGAUAGGAAAUCUUCCGCAUUCAAUUUGCAAUUUGAGAAACUCAUUAAAGGAGUUGGAUAUAACGGGGACAGGCAUAUCUGAAUUGUCCAAUUCAAUUACUUGCUUGAGGCGUUUAAAAGUGUUAAAAAUGGAUUCUUGCUUCAUUAGAGAAUUGCCUGGAGAAAUUGGAGAUUUGGUCGACCUUGAAGAGUUACAUGCUUCUCAUUGUAGGAGUUUGAAGGGAGCCAUUCCAUCUGCUAUUGGGUGUCUAUCUCGUCUGAGGAUACUGAGAUUGGGGCAUUCCAGUAUUUCUGACUUUUCUUCGAAAAUUGGAAGUCUUUCUUGUCUUCAGACUCUCGAUUUACUUCAGUGCAACGAGAUUCGAGAACUGCCAGAGCUUAUUUCCAGUUUAACUUGUCUACAUGCGAGUUCUGAAAGGAUGGAGGCCUUGCCAGAUCUUAGGUAUUUAGUGAAGUUGGAGGAGAUAUGUCUGGGUGAUAAAGAUCCUAAGGAACUCAGACGUUCCUCAACACGGAUGGAGCCAACAUUUAGAUCGAGAGAUCUCUUAGCAGUGCCCAUAGUACUUCCAAAACUGAAGAUAUUAGAGUUGUCCCAUUCUCGAAUCGGUGAACUGCAACUUCGGCAUGGUUCCCUCUCAUGUAAACAUCUUAAGAAGCUGGUUCUAUCUGGUGCGAAUCUUAAAAAGGUGCCAGAACUUCCCUCGUCAUUGUCCGUUUUAUCCAUUCGACAUUGUUUGUCUUUAAGACAAUUGCCAGCAGUGCACCAUUUGAGCAAACUAUCAGAACUAAAUCUCAUCCAAUCCGCGGUAGAAGAGAUUAAGGGGCUUCAGGGACUAAUUGCUCUGGAAAUCUUGAAUAUAACACAUUGCGAAAUACGUAAUCUCAAUGGGCUUAGCCAAUUAAUGGAGUUACGAAGUUUUAUUUUGUCAGACUGUGAUUUGCUCCAUGGAUUGCCCGAUAUAUCAAACUUGAAGAUGCUGAAUGUCCUAGUAGUCCAAAGAUGCAGGAUGAUCCAUGCUAUUGAAGGCCUUAUGGAGUUAACCUCCUUGGAGGAGCUGCGUGUUAGUGAAUGCGAGGCAGAAAGCACACAGCAAGUACAGGAUGCAUUAAAGCUCGUGAUGGAAGGUUCAAUAAACAGUUGAUGUCCUGUGCUCCUGGAGUGGACAUUCGGUUAUUUACAUGGCUCUUCGGACACAAUCGAAACCAUAGGGUGACAUCAUUGGAGUCCCUUGUGACAUUGAGUAGGCAAACUGACGGCAAAAUUACUAGAGCUGCAAUCUGAAAGUUUUUUGAGUCCUUUGUCUAUCAGAAGUGGAAGCUAGUGCCAUAAACAAUUGCCCUUGCACAACCUCACUGGUCAUUGGAGGGCGGCUUUCGUGUCGUGAAUGCUGAAUUUUCGUUGAGAGCUGUGUAGGGGGAGAGUCGGUUCGUUUGCUGUUGCCACUAUCUUCAUUGAAUUGGAUAACCAGUUUUUUGGGCCUUUCCUUAUGAUAUGUUGAUUUUCUUUUGUGUUGUUUCACAGCAUGUUGUCCGUUAAUUGCUUUGCCAAGGCGGCUAGCCAUCUGGCUUUAGCUUCAAUAUAUGUGGCUUUCGUGAUUAUAUUCAUCUCAGAAGUUCAGAAGUACUUUUAGUUUGCAAUGUUUAUACUUGUUUAUUAACCUAGUCUGAAUAGUUUGGCUAAUGUCCUCUGUUUUGAUGAUGUGUAAUUUGGAAAGCAAUGUCGUUUAUCUAAGAAUUUGAUGUAGUUUUUUCAGUCUAUGGACAUGCUCGAAGUUCUCUAUCUUGCUUUCUCUUGCCCUUUGUUUUUUCAGUAAUACCCCAUGACUUGAUGUUGGCAGUUCUGUUGGUUUCCAGAUUGGACUGCUUCUUGUUUUAGGUAGAGUAAUUGGACGGACAAUUUUUACAGUUGUUGACAUCGUUUGCCUGUCGCUCGCAAAAUUGACAGAACAAUUUGACCUGGGGUGUCAAAUGUCUCAUGAUCCUUUUCUCUUUUUCUUUGGUGGAAAACACCUAUAUGGUAGAAGUCAAGUUUGUCUUUGCCAUUCUAGUGAUUCAAGUAGCAUGUACUCCGAGGGAUUUUUCUUUAUGUAACAUGCGAAGAGAUAUUACUCUUAUUGAAAAAUAAAAGAACAUUUGUUCUAUAUUUUUAUCUUCAAUUUGAAAUUUCCAAACUGGGAAGGGUUUGAUAUCUGAAGAGCGUCCAUCGUGGUAUUGACUCAGUCUUCUCACUUAUGGCAGGUGAAUGAUCCUCCAGUCAGAAACUCACAAGAAGCUUUCAUGAUGGAGAUGCGCGCAGCAAGAAUGGUUCAAGCGGCUGAGUCACUGCUGAAAUCGGUAUCGGAGCUGAAACAGACUGCCAUAUUUCGGGAUUCGCAUCUCUGAAUGACUAUGUUGAACAGAGAAUCGUCGAGUUAAACCAGCAAGCUGAAAAAUCAGAUUGUACGUUGUCUAGAAUUGCGGAGGAGGCAGCUGCCAGUCUCAAAGAGCUCAAAUCUCAUUAGUACUCUGUGUCGCAGAGGACGACUCAUCUCACAGAAUCUUAGUGGAAGAUGGCUGUGAUUUUGUGUAUUGAUUUUGGGGGAUUAUCGUGACUUGUUACUUAUCUUGAAGCUAACAAAAGCUAUGUACGCUAACGGAGAUUCUAGGGUAUUCUUUAAUUUCAGCAGGGUGAUUGGGAGGCUUGCACUCGCGGUUCGAGAGCUAUGUGAUGGAAUGAAUUUGAUAUUCUAAAUAGGGAGUAUUGAGGAGAUAUUUGACUUUGGAAUUCAUCCAAAAUACUUGUCAAUGACUACUGAGUGCAAAUCUCUCUUAGCAAAGAGAUUAGCUACUUGGACUUCCAAGUCCUUACGUUUCUCUCCUGUACUUCUAUUUCUACGAAUUUGCAGCCGAUGGCUGAAUGAGAUGGAAAGCUUUUGCA
This is an RNA transcript of Eucalyptus grandis, 5437 nucleotides long. It is a transcript of the gene named disease resistance protein RPV1, with no coding region annotated. The transcript is spliced from 6 exons. The record is from RefSeq and is a predicted model, not a curated record. NCBI's taxonomy places the organism in Eukaryota, Viridiplantae, Streptophyta, Magnoliopsida, Myrtales, Myrtaceae.